CGAGGAAUACCUCCUCUUUUCUUUAUUUGUAUUUGCCUAAGAUAAAGUUGUGGACUUACUUAUCUUUGCUUCAGACAAAGAUAAGGAUUGACACCUUCGCCCAUCUUGGGACCAAGGAUGGAAUGUAAACAAGAAGGCUGCGGGAUAAAAUUUAUGAAGGGCUAAUUGCGAUUAGGUGGGCGCCUAUCCCCUCCUCUGUCCCCUUCCCCUUUGUUUGUAUUUGCAUUAACGGAAGAAUGUAGGCUGACCUUCGAACACCUGACUAUCCCUUGAUCAAGAUUAGGGUUUCUGGAAUGUAGAGAUGUACAUUCCUGUAGGUUUUUUGUCUAAGUAGUCUUUGCCUAUAAAAGUUCUGUGUGAAGCAAAUAAAAUUGGCACUAUUUCUCUCUUUUCAUAUAGUGUCCAUCUCUUCUUUUGUUACUCUUCAUUUUUCGUUACCCCAAACAGGAUGUCACAGGACUGGCCGACCCUGUGGAUGAGUCUUGUAAGCCAUAGAGUCUUACAAAUGGCUGCCCGGACAGGGACUUUCAUUCGUAACCCCGAUUCCUUUGCUGGUCAAAGGAUGACGAAGAGUUAACAGCUUUUGCCCCGAGACUGCAGCUCGGAUGGGCAGAAGAAUCGGACAGAGAGAGUGCAGUAUUUGUGGGCCUCCUCUGUUCCCCAACUUUUUCUCUCUUUUGCUUUUUAGUUUAAACUGUCCCCUAUUAGGGACCCCCUUCCCCCCAUUCUUUUCUUUUCUUGGAACCCUUCCUUCGGUUUUCUUUGGAGAACCCCUGAUGCUGUGUGCUGGUCAUGCAGUUUCAAUGCUACGGAGAUCCCCUUGGUGGUGAGCAUAGGAGAUACUCUAAGGACUUUAAGUGAAGCUACUGGAGUAAAGAGAUGGUCUUUGGGGAACAACCAUCUUGGGUAGAGUAUGUCAGCAUGGGACACGCUUUACCAGAAGUCAUCUUAUAUACAAAAACUAACUGAUAUUCCUGGCAUUUACCAUUUUGAGAGACAAGCUAAGGACAACAAUCAGGCCAACAAUUUGUUUGUGCCUUUCAAUUGGACUGGACUAGUUGAGGCACCCCCAGUGUGCCUCGCAAGAGACCAUCCUGCAUGCCUGCCCCUCAGAUCGCUGAAGGUGCAUUAUUAUGGUCAUCCUGACCUGUCAGACUCUUUUUGGAUAGGACCUUAUCAUGUAGAUAAAAGGGAAAAAUAUGAAGAUUAUGGCCAACUGCAAUAUCUAGGUUGGCUAGGGGAAUCUUGUGAUAGUAUUUGGGGACAAGAAAGACCUAUUUGUCCAUAUGUGAUGGGAUAUGAACAAAGAGACACUGUUAAUAUGUUUCUGCCCUUGCUGUCAUGUAGAUUUAAAAGGGCAUCAUGUAUUCAUUGGAAAAAUAUGAUUUGGAUGUAUUGGCAUAACAACACAAGGUGUAUUGGAAAGAAAUUGGAUUCUUAUAAAUUUCAUGAUUGUUUUAUAGGAUACAGCUCACCUUUGUGGGUGAUGCCCCCAGAGCUAAUUGGUUACAUUUUGCUAAUUUCACACAGAUUUUGACUGAUUAUGGAAAGAUAGCCCUGGCAUUGGAUAAAGUAAAUAUGUCUCAUUAUGUUAAUGUUACUUAUAAUGGAAAAGUCCAAAAUCCAGUAACUAGAAGUGUUACAUUAGGCAUUCAAGGUAAACACUCAGGGGGGUGGUAUCACUCACCGGCAGAUAGAGCAAUGGAAUAAUUGUCUCAACUAAUCAGCCCUAAGAAAAGAAGAUGUAUUUCUUGUUUAGUUGUAGGAAUUGUAGCUCUUAUAGCCGCUAUAACAGCCACAACUGUCAGUAGUGUUUCACUAGCACAAAGUGUAGCUAAUGUAAGGACCCUGGAACAUGAUGCAGAAUAUUUACAUGGGCUAGCACAGAAUGUAACCCAGGUUUUACACUUGCAGCAGGAUAUUAAUACAAGGGUUUUUUAUGCUUUACAACAAAUAUCUAAAGAUGUAUUGUUAUUAACCAAUCAAGUAGAAAUUUUAGCUAUCAAGGGUAAAUUAAGGUGUGAUUAUCGCUAUUCAGCCUUUUGCCUUCUUCCUGUUAAAGCUAACAUGUCUGAUGCAUUCGAAAAAAUUAGAAGUGAUUUACAAGGUCUUUGGUUAAAGAGUAACAUCUCAGAGGACAUCCAACAAUUGAACCACAUCAUUGAUGAGAUGGAUAACUCUUUAGCUGAGGACCUUCGCCCCGAACAUAUCGCUGAUUCGUUAUACAAUUGGAUCAAGUCAGGCCAAAGUUGGCUGUCUCCUUUGGCCCAAAUGAGUAUAACCAUAUUAACCUUCAUAUUGUUCAUAGUUAUCUUAGCGGUCCUUCUUCCCUGUCUGUUCCAAAUCCUUUUGUCCAGCUUGGGAAAAAUUGGCCAAAUCUUGGCUCUCCACAGAAGUCUUUUGCAGAACAAAUAGGGGGAAUUGUAGUCGAGGAAUACCUCCUCUUUUCUUUAUUUGUAUUUGCCUAAGAUAAAGUUGUGGACUUACUUAUCUUUGCUUCAGACAAAGAUAAGGAUUGACACCUUCGCCCAUCUUGGGACCAAGGAUGGAAUGUAAACAAGAAGGCUGCGGGAUAAAAUUUAUGAAGGGCUAAUUGCGAUUAGGUGGGCGCCUAUCCCCUCCUCUGUCCCCUUCCCCUUUGUUUGUAUUUGCAUUAACGGAAGAAUGUAGGCUGACCUUCGAACACCUGACUAUCCCUUGAUCAAGAUUAGGGUUUCUGGAAUGUAGAGAUGUACAUUCCUGUAGGUUUUUUGUCUAAGUAGUCUUUGCCUAUAAAAGUUCUGUGUGAAGCAAAUAAAAUUGGCACUAUUUCUCUCUUUUCA
Molecule: long non-coding RNA, 2822 nt
Organism: Monodelphis domestica (gray short-tailed opossum)
Lineage: Eukaryota; Metazoa; Chordata; Mammalia; Didelphimorphia; Didelphidae
Source: RefSeq, a predicted model, not a curated record